GAAAUACUUUCCUCUCAGCCGUCUCUCUCUUUCUCUCUCACAAAUUUUAUGAUUUUCUCCACUUCCACCUCUCAUGGAAUACUGCAUAAAGGUGACUAGCUAACUGUCAAGGAAUUUGCCUUAGUUGCAUUCGGAGAGGAUAUGAACAGAGAGAUCUAGGCGGCCGGGAUGGGAUCUAGGCUAGCAGUAGGAUAUUAUUUUUCUGUUACCUUAAUAUGUACACUUGCACAAUAAAUCCAGUUCCUUUGCAUUUCAAUUAUUGUAUUAAACAUUAUUACUCUUUUUAAAAUAAUCGUUUCCGCAUUU
Alnus glutinosa is the source of this 306-nucleotide long non-coding RNA. RefSeq lists it as uncharacterized. Lineage: Eukaryota; Viridiplantae; Streptophyta; Magnoliopsida; Fagales; Betulaceae. The record is from RefSeq and is a predicted model, not a curated record. The transcript is spliced from 3 exons.